Molecule: non-coding RNA, 1175 nt
Organism: Carassius carassius (crucian carp)
Lineage: Eukaryota; Metazoa; Chordata; Actinopteri; Cypriniformes; Cyprinidae
Source: the annotation of a RefSeq genome assembly
UAUUACACAAACCUUGAGCAAACAGUGUGAGAGUCCAGAUGAGGAUGAUGAUGUUGUUCAUUGUUGUUGUUGUGUCUUGUGUGAUGAUGAAGAUUGUGUUCUGUUCUGCUCUCAGUCAUGAAGUGUUAAACUCACAGCACUAUAAACUCUCUCAGAGCACUGAAGCAUGUGCUGAUGAUGCAAAGAAGAGGGCAGGAUUUACAACAGAUCGAGCUGCUACAAGACUGAUAUACUAGACUAGAGUUACAGAAUAUAUUACUCUAUAAAUUCUAUUAGAUGAAUCAACACCACUAUAAGAAGAGAGUGAAUUGUGAGUCUGUUCAUAAAGUAUCAGGACUGACUGUAAAUCUCUAAUCAGAGUUCAUGGUGUCACUCUGUCUGUCAUCAAUCCUCGAGUGAGACUGAAAUUGUAAAAUGGACAGAAAACAUUCUGUUAAAAAUGGUGACAGAUGGAAACUUUAGUUUUAGCUGGAGACUCACUACAAGCCCAGAUACCUUUUUCGUUUCUUUUCUUUUCUUUUCUUUUCUUUUCUUUCUUAUAAAAACGUAACAUGAACAAAUGUCUCUUGAUUAUUUUGUCUGAAGCUGCAGGUUUUUCUGUGAAUCAUGACUGAGCUUCAUAUGAACAACAGAAGAAUCAUUCUGAGAAACUCCAUGACAUCAUCCAUGAUGAAAGAGGUCAAAGGUCAUCUCAGAGUUUGUGUUCACUCGAGUGGAAUAGAGGUUUUUGUACGAGUGUUUCAUUCGAUUGUAUCACUGUGGUGGACUUUCGGUGGAGGAACUAAACUGGUGCUCGCUGGUCCCACAGUGAAGCCCUCAGUGUCUCUCCUGCCGCCCUCUUCUCUGCAGAUCUCUGGAGACUCAGCCGCACUGCUCUGUCUGCUCAGCUCUUACUCUCCACAGGGGGCGCUGGUGAGCUGGACACUGGACGGCUCAGAGGUCACCGAGGGGGUUGUGACCAGCGCAGAGAGCGAGCAGGACGGCCGCUACAGCCGCAGUAGUGUCCUGACCCUCAGCAAAGCACGCUGGGAAGAGGGAGAGCUGUACGUCUGCAGAGUAACACAUGAUGGAGCUCCUCAUGAAGCCUCGUUCCACAAGAGUCGCUGUUAGUCGCUCGCAGUGCUGAUGUUUCUCCAGUGAGCGCUGCUCUCUCCUGAAGAUGAACGUAUCUGAGU